AAAAUAUCUCCUUACGCUUUACUGGCAAGUACACACAUACAUAGAAUAGUAAAGGACUACUAUAGGCACCAGACCACUACAGCUCAAUGAAGUGGUCUGGGUGCCAGGUCCAUUUAGGGUUAACCCUGCAGCUUUAAACAUAGCAGUUUCAGAGAAACUGCUAUAUUUACUUUAGGGUUAAUCCAGCCUCUAGUGGCAGUGAGAAUCACUGUGAAAAUCACAGUGAGAAGACGCUAACAUCCAUAGGAAAGCAUUGAGAAAUUGUUGGAAGAGGGAGAAGAGUUCCCCAGUACCGAUGGAGCCUGGCACUGGAGAAAGGUAAGAGAUUAACCCCUUCAGCCCCCAUCAUCCUGGCGGGAGUGGGACCCUGAGGAUGGGGGGGACCUAAAGACCCUAUAGUGCCAGGUUAAUGAGUUUGUUUUCCUGGCACUAUAGUGGUCCUUUACUGUAAAAGAAAGAAGUAGAUAAAAGCAAUGUAUACAUUUCCAGUGUAUAUAGUGCAAUAUGAUUACCUAUUAAUGUUUCUGCAUGUGCCUAAUCAGUUUGCAUGAAUGUUGCCAUGUGCUGCUUGUAUUAUGUGUGAUGCAGCAGCUUUGUAUGGCUGUAUUUGUAGAUAUCUGCAUGAGCAAUUUGUGUUACCCCUCCAAUGCAACUCUCUGUACACAUAGUUACACAUUGGCAUAUAAGCAGAGACUGCACCGGAGCCCGCACACUCAGGGGGUCCAUCAGGUGGCCAUACACUUAGGGCCACCCAAUGGCAAAAGUGUUUUCAGUAGCCAGGUUACACGCUGCGGCCCUUAACAGUGCAGCUAGGCCCCUGUAAUCUUCCUCCCAGAAAACACAGAGCCGGAUGGGAGGAUGGCAGAGAGGAGGUUGUGGAGUGGGAGAACCUCUGACUCUCAACAGCCUCAGCCAGUCUAUUGGACCCCAGGGAAGCAACCCUCUUGCACCCAAAAGGUAGGAAACAGGAGGGUGGCUCAAAAUGUUUACAUUUUGCAUGUAUAUGUGUGUCAGUGAAUCUAUGUGUCUGCGUGUGUAUCUUUGUGUCAAUGUGUACUCCAUGUAUCUGUGUGUCUGUAUAUGUGUAUUAGUAUUUGCAUGAGUAUCAUUGUGUGUAUCUGUGUGUGUGUCUGUGUGUUAGUGUGUGUAUCUGCAUGAGUGCCAGUGUGUGUGUCUGUGUGUAUCUGUAUCACUGAGUGUAGCAGUGCAAAUGUAUAUGUGCAUACAUCUCAGCAUUCAAACUUAAACACUAUAAACAAAUACACCACUGCAUUCAAACAUCAACACCACAUACAAACACACCUCUACAUACAAAGGCAAACACUACACACUACACAGGUAAACAACUGUUUUUAAAUGGCAACAGUACAUAAAAACACACAAUGCAAAACUAACACAAAUACACACCUACAUUCACACACAUACUCAAUACAAAAACAUGCUUGCAUUCAAACAUACAAACAUUGUUCAGUGCUAAAUACAACUUUGCAAGGAUCGGCAAAUGGUAGAUCCCCAGCUGGCAAAGCAUUGUGGGAGUUGUACAACAGAAGGGGAUCUAUUUUUUUUUCUGUCCUUGCAAUAGGAGGUCACCAAAAAAUGUCUGCACCAGGGCCCUCUCUACUUUAGUUCUGCCACUGCAAAUACCCUAGUCUCCCACACACUGUUAGACAUUAACAAACUGCAAGACACACAAUACAACCCACACUGCUAAACCGACACAUUGACGAAGAUGUUAUUUUUAGCACCUCCAUUUUGCUUUCCAUUUAGCAGCAGGAGUUCCAGAAGCGAUCAGGCUGGCCGGGGCAAGGGCAGAUGCUUCGGUUGGCUGCUCUCUUCCAGCACGGUUUCGUCUUCCAAAUCGCUGGGAAGAAGUGAUCUGAGAUUGGUUCCUCCGAGCACUGCCACAAGUGAAUUAAUUGAGGACUGACAUUAAUUAAUUGAGGGCUGCUCUCACUGCCUGCUGUAAACAGGAACUAGCAGAUAUCUGAAGAAGUCCUACUGGGACCACUUUCAGGCCAGCUUUGGGGGAGACCCUCAGAUUUCCCCAGCCUCUUUGGCCCUGGCACCCCUGUGUGCCGUGCAGACACCUUCCGUGCCAUAGGUUGCUGACUGCUGUUUAAGACUAAAAUUUGCAAUUCCCUUGUCAACUAUAUACAAUAAACACACUUGAAAGCAAUGUGACAUAUCAAUUCUAUAGUGUAAUAGGUAUUGUUUUUUUGUUUUUUUUAUAUCCAGAGGUUCUAAGCCGUUACAGGCCCUCUCAUAUCGAAGGUAUACACAUAUAGUUAAAGGAAGAGCUCAACUGAGAGUGGGUGGUAAAUAUGUGGCUUACAAGGUAAGGGGUGCUUUUUAAGGGGAACAAAAUCCGCCCCCACACCGGAUAUAAAUACAUAAUAGAAAUAACAAUAACCCCAAGACACACCAAUUUGCACAUAAAAAAGAGUUUAUUCAUACAUACAAAGUAGGGAUUGAUCGAUUAUCGAUUUUACCGAUAUUAUUGGCCAAUAUUUUCGGCCAAUAUAGAUACCGAUAUUGCCGAUAAUACCUCCUAGGACUGCCGGGCUCAUUAUAAGCCCGGUGGUCCUGGGGGGGCCCGCAGAAGCUCUUACUUACCUUUCCAGAAGCUCCCUUCAGUUUCCUGUGUAAAUCUGACGAGUCCCGCGGCCGUCAGAGCGUUACCAUGGGUUACCAUGGCAAUGCUCCGCGCAGCACGCUAGCCGCGAGAUUUACACAGGGAGUUGAUGGGAGCUGCUGGAAAGGUAAGUUAGAGCUUCUGCGGGCCCCCCUGCUCAGUACAUGCCACUGGACCACCAGGGAAUGCCACAGCCCCCUCCCUGGUCAGGUAACAAGCAGGGAGGGGGGACAAAAAAAAAAAUCAAACACAGAAAUAUUAAAUAUAAAAUUACUAUAAUUUUACACAAAUUAAAUUUUGCACAAAUUACAUCACUUCAGAAACACACACACACACUACACAAACACACAUACACUCUGCAUUAUACACACACACUACACAGACACACACUACACAAACACACACUCUGCAUUCAUUAUAUACACAACUAUACAAACACACACACACUGCAUUAUACACACACUACACAAACACACACACUGCAUUCAUUAUAUACACAAACACACUCUGCAUUAUACACACACUACACAAAAACACACACACACUCUGCAUUCAUUAUAUACAAAACUAUACAAACAUACACACACUCUGCAUUAUACACACACACUACACAAAACGGCACACACUGCAUUCAUUAUAUACACACACUACACAAACACACACACUGAAUUAACUAUGCACACACUACACACACACUGCAUUCACUAUACACACUGCACACAUACUGCAUUCACUUUACGCCCACUACACACUACAUUCACUAUAUGCACACUACACAAACACACACUCUGCAUUCACGAUAUAUACACACUACACAAACACUCACUGCGUUCACUUUACACACUACACAAACACACCCUGCUUUCAUUAUAUACACACUACACAAAUGCACACUGCAUCCACCAGCCAAACACACACAGCUCCCCUGUUUAAACACACUGCAUCCACUACAUGUGGCAUGCAUAUUUUGUGCAUUUACCUUAAGAAAUAGUUUAUUUUUUCAAAAUGGUAAAUGUACAGAAUAUCGGCAAGUUAUCGGCUAUCAGCCUGAGUUCACAGAUUAUCGGUAUCGGCUCUAAAAAAUCAAUAUUGGUCGAUCUCUAAUACAAAGUACAUCAGAAUAUCUUAACAGAAGUAAAGUGCAUAGUAAAGUGUAUAGCCCAUUAAUAGUACCAAAAAACCACAGUAAUAAAGUGCUAGAUGCAAUCACCCAUUAAAAAGGUAUACUGACCAAAUAAAAACCCUGACUUUUUGGCUAUGAAGCCUUCCCCUGGGGGACCUCUCCCUCUCAUAUCGAGGCCCAUUAGAUCUUAAUGUCAUGACAACAUUCCUAACAGAACCCAAAGCUCCAAGAGAGCAAACAGAAGCACAAGCAUGAGCAAAUCCUCACAGUGUGUUCUCCUGAGAGUCUAGUUGCGAAGAUCUGUUCUUUGAGGCUUUACCGAGAUUGUUCAGUAAGCACAAUUGUCCAGCAUGUCCUUUACUGGAAUAAAUUAGGCAGCUUUUUUUUGUUGGUGAUAGUGGCAUGAGAAUUCCAAAUUUUAUUAAAUGACACGAAGGCUCAUAUUAUGCUUUUUUUUCAUUCUUUAUUCUUCAGCAGCAAAGAAAGGAUACUGUAAUAUUCAUAGAAAGAAUUCAAACAUGCACCCUGAAAGGGUUAACAACAUAAUAUGACAUCCAAUAAGAAAGCUCCUUGUACCAUAAGCCCCCAUGUGACCCUAAGCCACUCCUCUUUCUUUGCUGCUGCCUCCUCAGCUAAGUAUAAUUCAAUUUUCUCCCUGUCAUUACCAGUUAAUUUUAGUGUCAUUUUCAUGUUUGUGUUCCUGACCUUAUAGUUCUCCUUUAAGUAGAUGCCAAGACAAUACACUGGAUGUCCUUGGUCCCAGUGCUAAAAUAUUGGACAUGGUCGAAAUGGCCCUGGGAGGUGGUACUCCUGCGGAUUUGCUGACCAUCAGGUGUUGGAUCCAGUGAUCCGUUUGUUUGCUUGGCAAUGCCAAUACGGCAUUGGCUACUUGCAAGGCAAUCCUUAUAAAGAUUAAACCAAAAUUGGUGAACAUGGCUAUAUUUGAACCUGGCCACAGGCAAAAAUACCUCCUUUUUGGGGACAAUUUUGUGAAGGAACUGGGCACGUAUGUGUGGACUUUUACCGCACUCGAUAAGGCGCAAGCCAAUAUGAACAAAGUAUUCUCCCAAAGAGGUUUUAGCAGGGCUGGCAGAUAUUUGGGUGUAUGCCCGGCCGUUCCUCCCUGGGAUCGUACCGGGGUUCUCGAGGCUCCAUGCACUCCUGAUUCCAAGUUCCUGAACCUAAAAACACCUCACCAUUCUUCCAAGUUCGUGGCAGGCCUUGGCAGUCUCAUGGAUCCAAAGGUUUAUCCUAUGGCUGAUUGCCUUAUGGUAAGGCACUAUGGUAUUCACUUCCAUCACAUCUCUCUUCAAUAGCAAUUGUGGGGGGCAGAUUAUGCCAUUUUGUUAAAUGCCUGGCGCAUGUUAACUUCGGACUCGUGGGUCCUGCAAACUGUUCUGGGUUAUUCCAUAGAUUUUGUUCAAUACCCUGUUCUAAUGUGGCUACCCAACCAAAUAGUUUUCUCUUCACAUGACCGGUAGCUGUGGAGAUACAGUCUCUAGCUACCAAAGGCACAAUCUCAGAGAUGCAUUCACACACCCAAAGGUUUCUAAGCAAUCUCUUCCUUGUACCGAAGAAAUUUACACCCGCUAAACGCAUUUGUCGCAUACCACUAUUUCAAGAUGGAAGGUAUUCACUCUCUCCGAGACCUACUUCUGCUGGGGGAUUGGAUGGUCAAGCUUGACCUGCAAGACGCGUACCUCAAUAUUCUGAUGGUCAAGGACUGCCAGCAGUUCCUGCAAUUCUGGUGGGAGAAGACCAUGUGGCAUUUCAAUUGCCAAACGGGUUACACAUCAAUUGCCACGAACUACUGGCAGACUUGUUUGCCCUUCAAAGUCUAUUAGGGAUUUUGACCAACUGCUCCAUCCUUUUUCGUAUGGACAACGUUUCGGCAGUUUGCUACAUCAACCAUCUCUGAGGCAUUAUGUCCACGGUUUUGGUGGAACUGGCCAAAGAAUUCUGGCAAUUCUGCCUGGAUCACAUUAUCUCGGUUCAGGCGGAAUACAUUCCAGGCAUGUCCAACAUAGUGGUAGAUUGUAACUCCAGAUUUUAUUAAGGACACAGAGGCUAGUGUUAUCCCACCCUAUACAGGUACGUUGCGCCCUCCCUUAUAUGUUUUUCUGAAGAGGUUAUUACACGGUCUUAUGAUUUUGCUGUGUAUUUACCUAAUUGAUGGUUCUAUUAUGAUACUAUUCUGUUCAUAUUGGAUAUUUUAGUAUAUUUAAUAAUGCAUUAUAGAUGUAUUUCAAAAUCCGGAAACACAUUUUAACAGUUUGUUUCUCUGUUCCUUUUAGCUUCCUAACUGGACUUGGCACAGUUUUGCAUUCGUUCCUUCCUUGUUCCAACAGAGGAUCUCGUCUUCCAUGAAAUACUGGUGUCAUCCACCUAUGGAGUUGCUGUUUCUUCUUCACGUUUGACCAUAUGUUUUCUUAGAUUUAGAUGUUCGUCGGCAUCAUCAAUAAAGAGUAGUGGCUUAGGGUCACAUGGGGGCUUAUGGUGCAAGGAACAUUCUUAUUGGAUGUCAUGUUGUUAACCCUUUGAGGGUGUAUGUUUGAAUUUUUGCUAUGAAUAUUACAGUAUCCUUUAUUUGCUGCUGAG
Molecule: non-coding RNA, 6353 nt
Organism: Pelobates cultripes (western spadefoot toad)
Lineage: Eukaryota; Metazoa; Chordata; Amphibia; Anura; Pelobatidae
Source: the annotation of a GenBank genome assembly